GGCCUUGUAGUCUAGAGGUACGAUACUUGCUUUGGGAAUCCAUUCGGAUACAAUUGCAAGUGGCCUGGGUUCGAUUCCCAGCAAGGCCC
Non-coding RNA from Collybia nuda, 89 nucleotides. Lineage: Eukaryota; Fungi; Basidiomycota; Agaricomycetes; Agaricales; Clitocybaceae. The record is from the annotation of a GenBank genome assembly.